Canis lupus familiaris (dog) is the source of this 667-nucleotide long non-coding RNA. RefSeq lists it as uncharacterized. The record is from RefSeq and is a predicted model, not a curated record. NCBI's taxonomy places the organism in Eukaryota, Metazoa, Chordata, Mammalia, Carnivora, Canidae. The transcript has 4 exons.
GCUGCCACUCACCAUCUGUAACAACACUGGGCAAUUUAUUUAACCUUUCUAACUCUGCUUUUCCAUUGUGGUGAAUCAUGAAUCAUUUCUGUUUUGAGAGACUGUUACAAACAUUAAUUGGGGUCACAUAUGUGAAAAAGUACUCACCCAGAGACUCAAGAGAUGUUAGGCCUUAUUGUUACUAUCGCAUGUGAGAAUCAGAUGGAUGCUGUAUUUUGUGUCUCGAAGAACAGAUUUGCCAGAAACACUGACAUGGAGACAGGACCUUUCCUCUCCACUGCUUAUUCCUCAAGUAGUUAUAAUCCUUUGUUUGUGACACCACAAUUAGUUGCCACUGGAGAGGAUUCUAAUGUCGUAAAUAGAAGAUUAGGACUUCAAGUGAGACGUAAAUGGGAGCAGUUUCUCAGUUGCUCUCCUCUCCUUCUAUUAAGCGUUCAUGAUCUUCCAGCAUGAAUUGUCAUAGAAGGUGAUAUGGCUACUGUCUGUCUUCUUGGGAUGCUUUCCCUUGGAACCUACCCAUCACGCCAUGGGGAGGGCCGAGCAAGCUGUGGAGGGGAACCCCAUCUCGGUGACAGCUGGCUCCCCGGGCAGCACACAUCUUCAGAGAGAUUUUAUUUAUCCAUGAGAGACACAGAGAGCGAGGCAGAGAGAGGCAGAGACAUAGGCA